This 207-nucleotide ribosomal RNA is filed under the name uncultured bacterium. Its description in RNAcentral is "partial 16S ribosomal RNA". It matches the Rfam family "Bacterial small subunit ribosomal RNA", at positions 568 to 774 of the family's 1533-position model. The record is from RNAcentral.
AGCACAGGCGGUUUCUUAAGUCUGAUGUGAAAGCCUUCGGCUCAACCGAAGAAGUGCAUCGGAAACUGGGAAACUUGAGUGCAGAAGAGGACAGUGGAACUCCAUGUGUAGCGGUGAAAUGCGUAGAUAUAUGGAAGAACACCAGUGGCGAAGGCGGCUGUCUGGUCUGUAACUGACGCUGAGGCUCGAAAGCUAGGGUAGCGAACG